RNAcentral lists this small RNA (1885 nucleotides) under Pongo abelii (Sumatran orangutan). Its description in RNAcentral is "retained intron". Lineage: Eukaryota; Metazoa; Chordata; Mammalia; Primates; Hominidae. The record is from RNAcentral.
GUGCAAUCGCGGGAAGCCAGGGUUUCCAGCUAGGACACAGCGGGUCGUGAUCCGGGUCGGGACACUGCCUGGCAGAGGCUGCGAGCAUGGGGCCCUGGGGCUGGAAACUGCGCUGGACCGUCGCCUUGCUCCUCGCCGCGGCGGGGGCAGCAGUGGGCGACAGAUGUGAAAGAAACGAGUUCCAGUGCCAAGACGGGAAAUGCAUCUCCUACAAGUGGGUCUGCGAUGGCAGCGCUGAGUGCCAGGAUGGCUCUGAUGAGUCCCAGGAGACGUGCUUGUCUGUCACCUGCAAAUCCGGGGACUUCAGCUGCGGGGGCCGUGUCAACCGCUGCAUUCCUCAGUUCUGGAGGUGCGAUGGCCAAGUGGACUGCGACAACGGCUCAGACGAGCAAGGCUGUCGUAAGUGUGGCCCUGCCUUUGCUAUUGAGCCUAUCUGGGUCCUGGGGAGUGGUCUGACUUUGUCUCUACAGGGUCCUGCUCAAGCUGCAAGGCAGCUGCCCCGAACUGGGCUCCAUCUCUUGGGGGCUCAUACCAAGCCUCUUCCGUCCUUCAAAUCCCCCCUUGACCAGGAGGCAUUACAAAGCGGGGAUGGUGCCACCUCUUCGGGUUUGUCACGCACAGUCAGGGAGGCUGUCCCUGCCGAGGGCUAGCCACCUGGCACACACAUUGGCAAGCCGCUGUGAUUCCCGCUGGUCGUGAUCCCCGUGAUCCCGUAAUCCCCGCCCCGUGAGGCUGAACACAUAGUGACACUUGCUAGCCAAGCCUCAAUGACCCACGUAACAUGAAGGGGAAAAAGCCAGAAAAUUCUGCCAAGGAGCAAGGCCAAGAAUCCCGAAGGGAAAUGGACUUUGAAGCUGGGCAUCUUCUUGACUGUCUUAAUACAAGUGGCACGUCCAAAUCCAAAACCCUGAAAUUCAAAGUCUUGAGCACCCGAAAUUCUGAAACGUCUUGAGCACUGACCUUUAGAAGGAAAUGCUUAUUGGAGCAUUUUGGAUUUCGGAUUUUUACCACUGAGUGUGGAGUCCUAAUUAGGAAAAAAACCAGGCUGGCCGAACCAAGGGAAAGCAAUAAAAGAAGGCAGAUAGGGUUGGGCACGGUGGCUCACCCCUGUAAUCCCAGCUCUUUGAGAGGCUGAGGCGGGUGGAUCACUUGAGGUCAGGAGUUCGAGAACAGCCUGGCCAACACGGUGAAACCCCAUCUCUACUAAAAAUACAAAAACUAGCCAGGCGUGGUGGCGUGUGCCUGUAAUCCCAGCUACUCGGGAGGCUGAGACAGGAGAAUCACUUGAACCUGGGAGGCGGAGGUUGCAGUGAGCCAAUAUCACGCCAUUGCACUCCAGCCUGGGGGACAAGAGCGAAAUUCUGUCUCAAAAAAAAAAAAAGAAGAAGAAGGCAGACAAACUAUGUAACUCUGCCUUUCUCCAUGGUCCAGAACACACAGCCCUCCUGUAUAAAUAACUCCUUAUCUUCCUGCGCCCAGCUAUCACCUGACACCUCAGCUGAUAGAAAAUUGAAAGUUAGCUCACAGCAACCUCGGCAUUAUAAGUACUGCACAAAGCCCUCUUCAGCGCACAGCACAAGCACCAGUCUAUAAAAUCUCCAGCAAGCGGCCGGGUGUGGUGGCUCACACUUGUAAUCCCAGCACUUUGGGAGACUGAGGCGGGCGGAUCACCUGAGGUCAGGAGUUUGAGACCAGCCUGGCCAACAUGGUGAAACCCUGUCUCUAUUAAAAAUACAAAAAAAGUAGCCAGGCGUGGUGGCAGGUGCCUGUAAUCCCAGCUACUUGGAAGGCUGAGGCAGGAGAAUUGCUUGAACCCGGGAGGUGGAGGUUGCAGUGAGCCGAGAUCGUGCCAUCCCACUCCAGCCUGGGGGACAAGAGCGAGACU